AUUACAAAAAAAUUAAUAAAUAUGCUGUUACGAAAGAAAGUGAGCUAAAUAAGUAUAUAAGUGUACUACAUACGUUGCAUAGUAUGUAUAAAAUACGUAUUUAGGGGUGAUAGGCUUUUCAAACGUUCUUAUAACUUGUUUCAUAGGAAAAGUAUUAAGUACCUAAACAGAUUUAAAAAGUUAAGCUUUUAAAUAAUUAUUAAAAAUAGUAAUUCCCUGUAGUGCAGUGUAGUAGCUGUCUACAUGAUAAUUUAAUAUUAAGUAUUAUAAUUUAUAUUUUAUACUAUGACAAUAAAAUUUCGCAAUUAUUUGAUAAUGUUAUUAUUAGUAAUUUAAUAUAUAUGCUAAAGGAACUCGGCAAAAUAACCGCUCAACUGUUUAUCAAAAACAUAGCUAUAUGAUUUAAUAUAUAGUUAUUUCUGCUCAAUGAUUUUAAAUAGCCGCAGUACUCUGACUGUGCAAAGGUAGCAUAAUCAGUUGGCUUUUAAUUUGAGUCUGGUAUGAAUGAAAAUAUGGGUAGUAACUGUCUUAGCAUAUUACUUGAACUUAUUAAACAAGUGCAAAUACUUGUAGUUAAAAAAUAGACGAGAAGACCCUAGAAACUUGGACUGGUUUUUGUUGGGGCGACAGAAUUACAUGAAACUAAUUUUAUAAGACAUGACACGAAGUCGAGAGAAUAAGUUACUCUAGGGAUAACAGCAUAAUUUUAUUAGCUUGUGACCUCGAUGUUGGACUAGGUACUAUACCCUUAAGACAAGGAUAUAUUUUGCUCUGUUCGAGCAUAAAUACCUACAUGAUCUGAGUUCAGACCGG
Molecule: ribosomal RNA, 813 nt
Filed under: Helix schlaeflii
Lineage: Eukaryota; Metazoa; Mollusca; Gastropoda; Stylommatophora; Helicidae
Description: partial large subunit ribosomal RNA
Source: RNAcentral